This 475-nucleotide ribosomal RNA is filed under the name uncultured bacterium. Its description in RNAcentral is "SSU rRNA". It matches the Rfam family "Bacterial small subunit ribosomal RNA", at positions 26 to 518 of the family's 1533-position model. The record is from RNAcentral.
AGGACGAACGCUGGCGGCGUGCUUAACACAUGCAAGUCGAGCGGUAAGGCCCUUUCGGGGGUACACGAGCGGCGAACGGGUGAGUAACACGUGGGUGACCUGCCCUUAGCUCUGGGAUAAGCCUGGGAAACUGGGUCUAAUACCGGAUAUGACCUCGCGAUGCAUGUCGUGGGGUGGAAAGCCUUGUGCGGCUAGGGAUGGGCCCGCGGCCUAUCAGCUUGUUGGUGGGGUGAUGGCCUACCAAGGCGACGACGGGUAGCCGGCCUGAGAGGGCGACCGGCCACACUGGGACUGAGACACGGCCCAGACUCCUACGGGAGGCAGCAGUGGGGAAUCUUGCGCAAUGGGCGAAAGCCUGACGCAGCGACGCCGCGUGAGGGAUGACGGCCUUCGGUUGUAACCUCUUCAGCCCUGACGAAGCGAAAGUGACGGUAGGGGCGAGAAGAAGCACCGGCCAACUACGCGCCAGCAGCGC